AGCGGCGGACGGGUGAGUAACGCGUGGGUAACCUGCCUCAUACAGGGGGAUAACAGUUGGAAACGGCUGCUAAUACCGCAUAAGCGCACAGUACCGCAUGGUACGGUGUGAAAAACUCCGGUGGUAUGAGAUGGACCCGCGUCUGAUUAGCUAGUUGGUGGGGUAACGGCCUACCAAGGCGACGAUCAGUAGCCGGCCUGAGAGGGUGAACGGCCACAUUGGGACUGAGACACGGCCCAA
RNAcentral lists this ribosomal RNA (240 nucleotides) under uncultured bacterium. Its description in RNAcentral is "partial 16S ribosomal RNA". It matches the Rfam family "Bacterial small subunit ribosomal RNA", at positions 94 to 334 of the family's 1533-position model. The record is from RNAcentral.